UACGAAGGGUGCAAGCGUUACUCGGAAUUACUGGGCUUAAAGGGUGCGUAGGUGGUUUGUUAAGUCUGCUGUGAAAUCCCCGGGCUCAACCUGGGAAUGGCAGUGGAUACUGGCAAGCUAGAGUGUGGCAGAGGGGGGUGGAAUUCCGCGUGUAGCAGUGAAAUGCGUAGAGAUGCGGAGGAACACCGAUGGCGAAGGCAGCACCGUGGGCUAAAACUGACGCUCAGGCACGAAAGCGUGGGGAGCAAACAGG
Molecule: ribosomal RNA, 253 nt
Filed under: uncultured bacterium
Lineage: Bacteria
Description: partial 16S ribosomal RNA
Rfam family: Bacterial small subunit ribosomal RNA
Source: RNAcentral